GCCAGCAUGGCACAAAGGUUUGAGUGUUAGACUAUGACUCUAAAGAUCAGAGUUUGAAUCCCAGCUCAGCCA
This is a non-coding RNA of Phrynosoma platyrhinos (Desert horned lizard), 72 nucleotides long. The record is from the annotation of a GenBank genome assembly. Lineage: Eukaryota; Metazoa; Chordata; Lepidosauria; Squamata; Phrynosomatidae.